Molecule: ribosomal RNA, 253 nt
Filed under: uncultured bacterium
Lineage: Bacteria
Description: partial 16S ribosomal RNA
Rfam family: Bacterial small subunit ribosomal RNA
Source: RNAcentral
UACGAAGGGGGCUAGCGUUGCUCGGAAUUACUGGGCGUAAAGGGAGCGUAGGCGGAUAGUUUAGUCAGAGGUGAAAGCCCAGGGCUCAACCUUGGAAUUGCCUUUGAUACUGGCUAUCUUGAGUACGGAAGAGGUAUGUGGAACUCCGAGUGUAGAGGUGAAAUUCGUAGAUAUUCGGAAGAACACCAGUGGCGAAGGCGACAUACUGGUCCGGUACUGACGCUGAGGUGCGAAAGCGUGGGGAGCGAACAGG